RNAcentral lists this ribosomal RNA (550 nucleotides) under uncultured bacterium. RNAcentral describes it as "bacterial SSU rRNA". It matches the Rfam family "Bacterial small subunit ribosomal RNA", at positions 355 to 896 of the family's 1533-position model. The record is from RNAcentral.
UAGGGAAUCUUCCACAAUGGACGCAAGUCUGAUGGAGCAACGCCGCGUGAGUGAAGAAGGGUUUCGGCUCGUAAAGCUCUGUUGGUAGUGAAGAAAGAUAGAGGUAGUAACUGGCCUUUAUUUGACGGUAAUUACUUAGAAAGUCACGGCUAACUACGUGCCAGCAGCCGCGGUAAUACGUAGGUGGCAAGCGUUGUCCGGAUUUAUUGGGCGUAAAGCGAGUGCAGGCGGUUCAAUAAGUCUGAUGUGAAAGCCUUCGGCUCAACCGGAGAAUUGCAUCAGAAACUGUUGAACUUGAGUGCAGAAGAGGAGAGUGGAACUCCAUGUGUAGCGGUGGAAUGUGUAGAUAUAUGGAAGAACACCAGUGGCGAAGGCGGCUCUCUGGUCUGCAACUGACGCUGAGGCUCGAAAGCAUGGGUAGCGAACAGGAUUAGAUACCCUGGUAGUCCAUGCCGUAAACGAUGAGUGCUAAGUGUUGGGAGGUUUCCGCCUCUCAGUGCUGCAGCUAACGCAUUAAGCACUCCGCCUGGGGAGUACGACCGCAAGGUUG